This 459-nucleotide ribosomal RNA is filed under the name uncultured bacterium. RNAcentral's name for it is "partial 16S ribosomal RNA". It matches the Rfam family "Bacterial small subunit ribosomal RNA", at positions 339 to 795 of the family's 1533-position model. The record is from RNAcentral.
CUACGGGACGCUCCAGUGAGGAAUAUUGGACAAUGGAGGCAACUCUGAUCCAGCCAUGCCGCGUGCAGGAAGACGGCCCUAUGGGUUGUAAACUGCUUUUAUACAGGAAGAAUGGUACCUACGUGUAGGUAUUUGACGGUACUGUACGAAUAAGGAUCGGCUAACUCCGUGCCAGCAGCCGCGGUAAUACGGAGGAUCCAAGCGUUAUCCGGAAUCAUUGGGUUUAAAGGGUCCGUAGGCGGUCUGAUAAGUCAGAGGUGAAAUCCUGCAGCUCAACUGUAGCAUUGCCUUUGAUACUGUUAGACUUGAGUUAUUGUGAAGUAGUUAGAAUGUGUGGUGUAGCGGUGAAAUGCAUAGAUAUCACACAGAAUACCGAUUGCGAAGGCAGAUUACUAACAAUACACUGACGCUGAGGGACGAAAGCGUGGGUAGCGAACAGGAUUAGAUACCCUGGUAGUC